CAUUAUCGAAUUGUCAACACGAGUUGUUGCUGGCCUUCAAACGGGGGCAUGUGCACGCUCUGUUUGCAUCCACUCACACCUGUGCACCCUCUGUAGUUCUACGGUCUGGGAGACCCUGUCUUCCUUCUGUGGUUCUGCGUCUUUACACACACACUGUAACAUGGUCUUAUGGAAUGUACGCAGCGUUUAACGCAAUACAAUACAACUUUCAGCAACGGAUCUCUUGGCUCUCGCAUCGAUGAAGAACGCAGCGAAAUGCGAUAAGUAAUGUGAAUUGCAGAAUUCAGUGAAUCAUCGAAUCUUUGAACGCACCUUGCGCCCUUUGGCUAUUCCGAAGGGCAUGCCUGUUUGAGUAUCGUGAACACCUCAACUCUCAUGGUUUGCCAUGAAGAGCUUGGACUUUGGAGGUUUUGCUGGCCCCGCGGUCUGCUCCUCUCAAACGAAUUAGCUUACCAGUGUAUGGUGGCGCCACAGGUGUGAUAACUAUCUGCGCUUGUGGUCGCACGCCAGACAACCUUCAGCACUGGAGGUUUGCUGGGGCUCAUAAAAGUCUUUCCUCGGUAAAGACAGCUUCUGAACGUUUGAUCUCAAAUCAGGUAGGACUACCCGCUGAACUUAAGCAUAUCAAUAAGCGGAGGANAAGAAACUAACAAGGAUUCCCCUAGUAACUGCGAGUGAAGCGGGAAGAGCUCAAAUUUAAAAUCUGGCGUGCCUCUGGUCGUCCGAGUUGUAGUCUGGAGAAGCGUUUUCCGUGUUGGACCGUGUACAAGUCCCUUGGAACAGGGCGUCAUAGAGGGUGAGAAUCCCGUCUUUGACACGGACUACCAAUGCUUUGUGAUGCGCUCUCAAAGA
This 852-nucleotide ribosomal RNA is filed under the name uncultured fungus. RNAcentral's name for it is "eukaryotic LSU rRNA". The stretch from base 583 to 852 matches the Rfam family "Eukaryotic large subunit ribosomal RNA", at positions 1 to 263 of the family's 3401-position model. The record is from RNAcentral. Lineage: Eukaryota; Fungi.